Molecule: small nucleolar RNA, 137 nt
Filed under: Ornithorhynchus anatinus (platypus)
Lineage: Eukaryota; Metazoa; Chordata; Mammalia; Monotremata; Ornithorhynchidae
Source: RNAcentral
CUCCUCUGGGGGUCACACCUGGAGAGUUACUAGUACUCUACCAGUCUCGACUAUGAGAGGGAGAGUCAAGCAGAGGCAAACCCAUUCCAUUCCUAGCUUGGGAAUGGCUAGCGAGUGGAAGGCAAUCUGCUACAAGU